This 468-nucleotide ribosomal RNA is filed under the name uncultured bacterium. Its description in RNAcentral is "partial 16S ribosomal RNA". It matches the Rfam family "Bacterial small subunit ribosomal RNA", at positions 28 to 507 of the family's 1533-position model. The record is from RNAcentral.
GACGAACGCUGGCGGCGUGCUUAACACAUGCAAGUCGAACGGAAAGGCCCUGCUUUUGUGGGGUGCUCGAGUGGCGAACGGGUGAGUAACACGUGAGUAACCUGCCCUUGACUUUGGGAUAACUUCAGGAAACUGGGGCUAAUACCGGAUAGGAGCUCCUGCUGCAUGGUGGGGGUUGGAAAGUUUCGGCGGUUGGGGAUGGACUCGCGGCUUAUCAGCUUGUUGGUGGGGUAGUGGCUUACCAAGGCUUUGACGGGUAGCCGGCCUGAGAGGGUGACCGGCCACAUUGGGACUGGGAUUCGGCCCAGACUCCUACGGGAGGCAGCAGUGGGGAAUAUUGCACAAUGGGCGGAAGCCUGAUGCAGCAACGCCGCGUGCGGGAUGACGGCCUUCGGGUUGUAAACCGCUUUCGCCUGUGACGAAGCGUGAGUGACGGUAAUGGGUAAAGAAGCACCGGCUAACUACGUG